AGUCGAACGGGGAUGCAGCGAUGUAUCCUAGUGGCGACCGGGUGCGUAACACGUAGCUGACCUGCCCCUCAGCGGGGGACAACAUGCCGAAAGGCGUGCUAAUACCGCAUGAACUGGAGGUGACCAGAUAGCCUUCAGGAAACCUACGGGGCUGAGGGAGGGGGCUGCGGCUCAUCAGGUAGUUGGUGGGGUAACGGCUCACCAAGCCGACGACGAGUAGGGGGCCUGAGAGGGUGACCCCCCACACUGGAACUGACACACGGUCCAGACUCCUACGGGAGGCAGCAGUAAGGAAUAUUGGGCAAUGGGCGCAAGCCUGACCCAGCAACGCCGCGUGGAGGAAGAAGGUCUUCGGAUCGUAAACUCCUUUUGAGGGGGACGAGGAAGGACGGUACCCCUUGAAUAAGUGACGGCUAACUACGUGCCAGCAGCCGCGGUAAUACGUAGGUCACGAGCGUUAUCCGGAUUUACUGGGCGUAAAGCGUGUGCAGGCUGUUAGGUAAGUGGUGUGUGAAAGCGCUCGGCUUAACCGGGCGAGGUCAUGCCAGACUGCCUAGCUAGAGGCAGCCAGAGGGACAUGGAAUUCCGAGUGUAGCGGUGAAAUGCGUAGAGAUUCGGAGGAACACCAGAGGCGAAGGCGGUGUCCUGGGGCUGACCUGA
Molecule: ribosomal RNA, 660 nt
Filed under: uncultured bacterium
Lineage: Bacteria
Description: bacterial SSU rRNA
Rfam family: Bacterial small subunit ribosomal RNA
Source: RNAcentral